Molecule: long non-coding RNA, 1983 nt
Filed under: Gallus gallus (chicken)
Lineage: Eukaryota; Metazoa; Chordata; Aves; Galliformes; Phasianidae
Source: RNAcentral
GCUGCUUCAUAUAGUAAAACGGACCAUGUCUUAGUUCUGACUGUUCUUUAUUAUUACUGUUUAAUAGACCAGGUUUCUUUUUCUUUUUUAUGGGACUUGUAGAUGCAUCUUGGGGUGAGUGGCCAUUAGAGGAAUGUGGAGGGCUGGGAAACUUCCUUUUUUGUGCUGUGCGUUCGGCAGAGCCAGGAUCUUUGGAUCGAGUGGAGAUAUCCAUCCCCUCCACCACCUCCUGCUCUGCCUUUAUUUCCUCUUCAGCCAAACUCUGUGGAUGCAUUGUUAACACAGUGUUAUGUCAAUACUUAUAAAACAUGGAGGACAGGCUCUCAGUACUCAGACAGAAAGGGCUUGGCACUUCAGCUUGAUGAUCUGUCUUCCUAAUAAAAGCUAAUCCAGGAUUGGCUACUUUCGUAAAUCUGAAUGUAAAGCUUCAGGGGAUUGGCUGAAACACUUCCUGAGCGAUUAUCUUUGUGCAGCUCUGGCAAGCAGGAGCCAUCCUGUGCACAGAGAAGACAGGCUAAGCUAGGCCCGUUUCAGCAAAAAAACUCGAAAAGAACUCCCAAAAGCCGACUUCCCGUAUGAAAUAGGUAGAUUUUCAAGCAGAGGAAAGCGAUCACAAACUGCCUGACUGAGCAAACGUGUCUCAACGCGUCCCUGCUGAAGGCAUUUGGCUAUUUUAAACCUGAAGGAGGGCGAGUUCACCCAGGUCACAAAAACGAUUCUUUACAAACAAAAAGCUAAAUUCACUUUUCUGGUGUUCUCCACUGUGUUUCACACAGUGAAAGCAAGGCUACAGAAAGGGAACAAAAUAAACUGAAAGUGCAUAUGCAUGGGAGAGGUGGACAUUAAAGACUGAAAAUUCAGACAGAAUCCUCCAAAUCCAGAAUGCACGUACGUACAUUAACACUGACCACAGCAACCAUACACUGACAGUGGGAUUUAUUCUUUUUUUCCAGACAACAUGAGCCAAAACCUACAUGGGAAAAGCCUGAUGGCUGAUUUCUGGAGCAAGUAAUACACAGCUGAAAUUACAUUAUCAAAGAGGGCUGUUGGCAUUCAGUGCACACCCUCCCUGACUAUAAAAAUGCUGCAGAGAACGACCCAAAAUAUGGGGAUGGCAGCGAUGCACACCCGCGGCCCGGGCCCCCCCAGCCUCCACCACGCGGCCUGCAGGGCUGCCCUGCUGCCGGCUGCCGUGCUACCGGCCGCAGCCGCCGCUUCCUGGCCAUUAACCCUGUCGCACUUGGUGCUUUUUAAGGCACGAGGCAGGCCCUGAAAAGCAGCAGAACCUCCACGUGGCAAAUUCUCGCUUUCACAAAAAGGAAUUAAUGCAGCCUGUUGGAUUUGUUUUUGCUUUGCCUUUUAUCUCGUGCGAAACAAAACGAGAAAAGAGCAUGUAAGCGGCCCAUGUGGCCAAUGCCCAAACAUUGCAUUCAAAAAUGCUUUAAGUCCUUUCCCUAAAAUUCUGCAGUUUGGCUCCCUUUCCUAAUACAGCAAAAGUGGGAGGAUUUAUCACUGUGCCAGCGAGGAAGGAAGUGUCAAAUGCAGAUUAGUAUUUCAAAGGUCAUCUCUUUAGAAGUGCUGCAGCAAGGCUUCGUGUUUUUGUUCAGGAUUGUGUGUCCGUAUUGGUAGCUAGGCUUUAACAUUCUGUUGCCAUCGACAAAUUACAAAGGAAAUCAUAGCUGAGAAGGUGAUUCUGAAGCAUAUUGCAUAUUAUCAGAAGGUUACGUCUGCAAAAACAAAAACUAAGGGAGUUGCAGAGGGGCAAAUUCAGUAUUAAAACAGUAAUUCUCAAAUACUGAGCUAAAACAACCAAAGCAAAAUAAAGGUUCUUCCAACACAAGAUUCAAGAUUGUGCAAAAAUUAUAGAAAACCCUCUGCCAUUAAUCGAGGCUAACUGCAAACAGAACGUGCACUUCACGAACUUAACCCCCGUGCUGAUUACCCCAGAAACAAUCGCCAUGAAUAAAGGUAACUUCCCUUCCC